This is a long non-coding RNA of Haliaeetus leucocephalus (bald eagle), 731 nucleotides long. RefSeq lists it as uncharacterized. NCBI's taxonomy places the organism in Eukaryota, Metazoa, Chordata, Aves, Accipitriformes, Accipitridae. The record is from RefSeq and is a predicted model, not a curated record. The transcript has 3 exons.
CUUUUCUGAAGAGCUGGCAACUCUCAAACACCAUCUGCCUCCUCUGCGAUGGGUGCCGAGAAGGGGAAGACCUCCUGCAGCAGGGAUGGAGUACUGGGCUGGUGUUGGGAAGGCGCUGGAGAGGGACUAGAGCUCUGAGGGCAUGUUUCACACCUACCUGGAGCCACCUCUGCUGUGACAUGUUGGUUGGGACCAGACCAAAUGCCAGCGGUGGACAUCUCCCAGCAUUAGGGAGAGGGGAGCAUGUCCUCACCUCUCCCCGUGCAAACUACCUGCCAAAUGCCAGCAGUAAAUCCUUGCUCAGGAUGUGGCCCGCAGAGAUGCCUGCAAGCAAAUGGGCUGCAACACCCUGGCACUGAACAGCCCAGAGAGGUGGAUGGAGGCCACCGGGAGCCAUGGGGACCCGAGAGCCAUGGUAAUGCUGAGAGGAAGCAGUCCUUCUCUUCCAGCCUAGGCUCUGGGCACCCUCAGCCCUACGGUGUUUGCUCUACGAGGACAGCGUUCGUCAGCAGGAGCACAGCUUUUGCCUGCUGAUCGAGGUACCCGGACCAGUCUCCGGGUUUGUUGGCUUGCCUGGAGGAUGCCCCCGGCUGUCACUGCUUCCUGAACAGCAGCCAAGCCCCUUACCAGAAGAAAACGAAUGCUGCAAAGCCCGCGCCUCCGCCGGCAGGAGCCGUUCGUAGGUGUUGAAGAUCCCAGCAUCCGAAAUGAUAACAGGAGCAAAGAUGUUC